Non-coding RNA from Pimephales promelas (fathead minnow), 292 nucleotides. NCBI's taxonomy places the organism in Eukaryota, Metazoa, Chordata, Actinopteri, Cypriniformes, Leuciscidae. The record is from RefSeq and is a predicted model, not a curated record.
GAGGACCAGGGUUGGCUACCUUAGAUUUAGUCAUUAUGAAUGAUCAUUAUAUGGCUACAAUAGUUUACUAGGUAGAAUUGGAUAACAAUAUGUCUAAAUCCUUGCUACAUCCACAAAAAUUUCCUAAUGUUGUCUUGCCUCUUGACCGCUGCAUUCGGGAGAGAACACAGAAGUGAGGAUGCUGUGAUUGUGACGAGGUGGAGCCCAAACGCCACAGAUUAAGAUGUUGAUGCAGCAAUGGCGAACACCUGAAGCACACUCAAGAAGAGCUGGAUAUAAAAAUAGCCAUAAA